UGGGGUGUAGCCAAGUGGUAAGGCAGCGGGUUUUGGUCCCGUCAUUCCUGGGUUCGAAUCCUAGCACCCCAGCCA
This 75-nucleotide transfer RNA is filed under the name Candidatus Odyssella acanthamoebae. RNAcentral describes it as "tRNA-Gln (TTG) (tRNA-Gln-TTG-1-1)". It matches the Rfam family "tRNA". From Rfam's summary of the family: Transfer RNA (tRNA) molecules are approximately 80 nucleotides in length. Their secondary structure includes four short double-helical elements and three loops (D, anti-codon, and T loops). Lineage: Bacteria; Pseudomonadati; Pseudomonadota; Alphaproteobacteria; Holosporales; Candidatus Paracaedibacteraceae. The record is from RNAcentral.